UACGUAGGGGGCAAGCGUUGUCCGGAAUCAUUGGGCGUAAAGGGCGUGUAGGCGGCCCGAUAAGUCCGCUGUGAAAGUCCAGGGCUCAACCCUGGGAUGCCGGUGGAUACUGUCGGGCUCGAGUCCGGAAGAGGCGAGUGGAAUUCCUGGUGUAGCGGUGAAAUGCGCAGAUAUCAGGAGGAACACCAAUGGCGAAGGCAGCUCGCUGGGACGUGACUGACGCUGAGACGCGAAAGCGUGGGGAGCAAACAGG
RNAcentral lists this ribosomal RNA (253 nucleotides) under uncultured bacterium. Its description in RNAcentral is "partial 16S ribosomal RNA". It matches the Rfam family "Bacterial small subunit ribosomal RNA", at positions 524 to 776 of the family's 1533-position model. The record is from RNAcentral.